Molecule: ribosomal RNA, 253 nt
Filed under: uncultured bacterium
Lineage: Bacteria
Description: partial 16S ribosomal RNA
Rfam family: Bacterial small subunit ribosomal RNA
Source: RNAcentral
UACGUAGGGGGCAAGCGUUGUCCGGAUUUACUGGGCGUAAAGAGCGUGUAGGCGGCCACGCAGGUCCGUUGUGAAAACUGGAGGCUCAACCUUCAGACGUCGACGGAAACCGUGUGGCUAGAGUCCGGAAGAGGAGAGUGGAAUUCCUGGUGUAGCGGUGAAAUGCGCAGAUAUCAGGAAGAACACCAAUGGCGAAGGCAGCUCUCUGGGACGGUACUGACGCUGAGACGCGAAAGCGUGGGGAGCGAACAGG